GAUGAACGCUGGCGGCGUGCCUAAUACAUGCAAGUCGAGCGAACAGACGAGGAGCUUGCUCCUCUGACGUUAGCGGCGGACGGGUGAGUAACACGUGGAUAACCUACCUAUAAGACUGGGAUAACUUCGGGAAACCGGAGCUAAUACCGGAUAAUAUAUUGAACCGCAUGGUUCAAUAGUGAAAGACGGUUUUGCUGUCACUUAUAGAUGGAUCCGCGCCGCAUUAGCUAGUUGGUAAGGUAACGGCUUACCAAGGCAACGAUGCGUAGCCGACCUGAGAGGGUGAUCGGCCACACUGGAACUGAGACACGGUCCAGACUCCUACGGGAGGCAGCAGUAGGGAAUCUUCCGCAAUGGGCGAAAGCCUGACGGAGCAACGCCGCGUGAGUGAUGAAGGUCUUCGGAUCGUAAAGCUCUGUUAUUGGGGAAGAACAGAUGUGUAAGUAACUAUGCACGUCUUGACGGUACCUAAUCAGAAAGCCACGGCUAACUACGUG
This 497-nucleotide ribosomal RNA is filed under the name uncultured bacterium. RNAcentral describes it as "partial 16S ribosomal RNA". It matches the Rfam family "Bacterial small subunit ribosomal RNA", at positions 28 to 507 of the family's 1533-position model. The record is from RNAcentral.